This 442-nucleotide ribosomal RNA is filed under the name uncultured bacterium. RNAcentral's name for it is "partial 16S ribosomal RNA". It matches the Rfam family "Bacterial small subunit ribosomal RNA", at positions 338 to 795 of the family's 1533-position model. The record is from RNAcentral.
ACUACGGGUGGCUGCAGUGGGGAAUAUUGGGCAAUGGGCGCAAGCCUGACCCAGCAACGCCGCGUGAAGGAAGAAGGCUUUCGGGUUGUAAAAUUCUUUUGACAGGGAAGAGUAGAAGACGGUACCUGUCGAAUAAGCAACGGCUAACUACGUGCCAGCAGCCGCGGUAAUACGUAGGUGGCAAGCGUUGUCCGGAUUUACUGGGUGUAAAGGGCGUGUAGCCGGGUUGACAAGUCCGAUGUGAAAUCCUGGGGCUUAACCGCAGAACUGCAUUUGAAACUGUUGAUCUUGAGUACUGGAGAGGCAGACGGAAUGCCUGGUGUAGCGGUGAAAUGCGUAGAUAUUAGGAGGAACACCAGUGGCGAAGGCGGUCUGCUGGACAGCAACUGACGGUGAGGCGCGAAAGCGUGGGGAGCAAACAGGAUUAGAUACCCUAGUAGUC